This 698-nucleotide long non-coding RNA is filed under the name Salvia miltiorrhiza (redroot sage). Its description in RNAcentral is "long non-coding RNA (SMIL_LNC008857)". The record is from RNAcentral. Lineage: Eukaryota; Viridiplantae; Streptophyta; Magnoliopsida; Lamiales; Lamiaceae.
UUUGUUUCCUUUUUUUUGGUUUUCUUUUUGCUGAUAUAGUUUCCUUUUUUUUUUCUUUCAUUUUGUUUCCUUUUUCUUUCUUUUUUUUGUUCCUUUUUUGGUUUUUUUUUUCCUUAUAUAGUUUUUCGAGCAAAAUCACUGCGUACGAUUGACUAUACUUUAUUUAUGCUUCCAACUUAAAUAAUAUUUCAAUUAUAUAAAAUGAAUAUCUUUAUGCUAUAAGCAAACAUAUAUUCGCAUAUUUUUUUAUUUUUUAUUUAAAAUUAUUAUAACUAAAGAAAUGAAAAAAUACACUCACACUCUAGCCCCUAGGUGACUCGAACCCCCAACCUAUUAGUUGGAAGAGAAGCGUCUUACCAACAGACUGCGCUUCAUCGUCGCAUAUUUUUUUAUUAUUAUUUUUCAUGACAUAUAAGCUUAACUUAAUUUACAACAAUAAUUAUAUUACAUUUAAUACUUUAUUAUAAUACAUUCGAACAAAGUAUUCCUUAUAUAGUUUUGCGACCGAAUCCAAUCAUAUGAUUCAUAUUUUUUUGGUAUUUUUUUUUUCAAAAAAAUUCACAAAUUAUUUUCAAUACAUUGCAAAAUGUCAUCGUAUAAUACAUUGUUUCUCAUCCAAAUAUAUGUUAAAUAGUUUCGCGAGCGAUUUCCAAUCGUACGAAAAUGUUAUUUUCAAAUUUUAAACAUUUAUAUUGCCC